RNAcentral lists this ribosomal RNA (453 nucleotides) under uncultured Cellulomonadaceae bacterium. RNAcentral describes it as "bacterial SSU rRNA". It matches the Rfam family "Bacterial small subunit ribosomal RNA", at positions 917 to 1372 of the family's 1533-position model. The record is from RNAcentral. Lineage: Bacteria; Bacillati; Actinomycetota; Actinomycetes; Micrococcales; Cellulomonadaceae.
GGGCCCGCACAAGCGGCGGAGCAUGCGGAUUAAUUCGAUGCAACGCGAAGAACCUUACCAAGGCUUGACAUGCACCGGAAACUUCCAGAGAUGGUUGCCCCGCAAGGUCGGUGCACAGGUGGUGCAUGGUUGUCGUCAGCUCGUGUCGUGAGAUGUUGGGUUAAGUCCCGCAACGAGCGCAACCCUCGUCCCAUGUUGCCAGCGGGUUAUGCCGGGGACUCAUGGGAGACUGCCGGGGUCAACUCGGAGGAAGGUGGGGAUGACGUCAAAUCAUCAUGCCCCUUAUGUCUUGGGCUUCACGCAUGCUACAAUGGCCGGUACAAAGGGUUGCGAUACCGUGAGGUGGAGCGAAUCCCAAAAAGCCGGUCUCAGUUCGGAUUGGGUCUGCAACUCGACCCCAUGAAGUCGGAGUCGCUAGUAAUCGCAGAUCAGCAACGCUGCGGUGAAUACGUU